This is a small nuclear RNA of Salvia splendens (bonfire salvia), 102 nucleotides long. The record is from RefSeq and is a predicted model, not a curated record. NCBI's taxonomy places the organism in Eukaryota, Viridiplantae, Streptophyta, Magnoliopsida, Lamiales, Lamiaceae.
GUCCCUUUGGGGACAUCCGAUAAAAUUGGAACGAUACAGAGAAGAUUAGCAUGGCCCCUACGCAAGGAUGACAACCCUAAACCCUAAACCCUAAACCCUGAA